UGGCGGGGAGGGCUGGGAGGCUAGCCGUCUCCCUUAACCUGAAAACGGCUACACGCAGGGGCCAGUAACCACCAGGUAAAACACCACAUCUGAAACACCCGCCAACUGGGUGGGGAUGAAGCCGCGCUGCGGUGGGUAGUGGCAAGGAGCACCCCUCUCGAAAGGGAGGGUGUGACUCUCAACCACCGAACCGAGUCAGGUCCGGGAGGGAGCAGCUCUAAGGUGGGGCCAGCUACGCUGCCGCAUCUACGUGGUUGACUUCAUCUGGUUGGAGAAGGGGUUCGGGUGCAGUGUGAAUUCUGGUGGAGCCGCCA
This 314-nucleotide signal recognition particle RNA is filed under the name Nitrososphaerales archaeon. RNAcentral describes it as "signal recognition particle sRNA". It matches the Rfam family "Archaeal signal recognition particle RNA". The record is from RNAcentral. Lineage: Archaea; Thermoproteati; Nitrososphaerota; Nitrososphaeria; Nitrososphaerales.